GAUGAACGCUGGCGGCGCGCCUAAUACAUGCAAGUCGAACGAAACUUCUUUAUCACCGAGUGCUUGCACUCACCGAUAAAGAGUUGAGUGGCGAACGGGUGAGUAACACGUGGGCAACCUGCCCAAAAGAGGGGGAUAACACUUGGAAACAGGUGCUAAUACCGCAUAACCAUAGUUACCGCAUGGUAACUAUGUAAAAGGUGGCUAUACUACCGCUUUUGGAUGGGCCCGCGGCGCAUUAGCUAGUUGGUAGGGUAAAGGCUUACCAAGGCAAUGAUGCGUAGCCGAAUUGAGAGGUUGAUCGGCCACAUUGGGACUGAGACACGGCCCAAACUCCUACGGGAGGCAGCAGUAGGGAAUCUUCCACAAUGGGCGAAAGCCUGAUGGAGCAACGCCGCGUGGGUGAAGAAGGUCUUCGGAUCGUAAAACCCUGUUGUUAGAGAAGAAAGUGCGUGAGAGUAACUGUUCACGUUUCGACGGUAUCUAACCGGAAAGCCACGGCUAACUACGUG
Molecule: ribosomal RNA, 512 nt
Filed under: uncultured bacterium
Lineage: Bacteria
Description: partial 16S ribosomal RNA
Rfam family: Bacterial small subunit ribosomal RNA
Source: RNAcentral